GUAUAGUUGAAGGAUGGGAUUAUGAUCUCGAUGAAAACUACAGAAAGACAAUGUAACAGUGGAGGACAUUCCUAAACGCAACUAGAAGAGGUGGUGUCCAGCCAUUAGAAUUGUAUCAAGGUGAAAUGUGGAAGGAUACUUGCCUAAACAACAAGAAUCUAAAACAGCCAAAGAGAGAAAAGAACAGAAGAUAAAAGCCAAUCUGGUGAUUUCCUCACAGUGAGGAUCAAUGUUUGUAACUCCUUUACCACAAAAUACUGAGGACAAAUGGGAUCCAAGGCAGAAAGUAAAACUGGAAACCAAUGCCACUAAGUAGAGU
Molecule: long non-coding RNA, 319 nt
Organism: Polypterus senegalus (gray bichir)
Lineage: Eukaryota; Metazoa; Chordata; Cladistia; Polypteriformes; Polypteridae
Exons: 4
Source: RefSeq, a predicted model, not a curated record